CCUGUGCCGGCUCCGGCCGGGAUCUGGUCCCAGUCCCGAACCGGCUCCGACCUGGAUCUGGUCCCAGUCCCGAACCGGCUCCGACCUGGAUCUGGUCCCAGUCCCGAACCAGCUCCCGCCUGGAUCUGGCCCCAGUCCCGAACCGGCUCUGACCUGGAACCAACCCGGAUUGAGCCCUGCUACCCCAAUGACCUGUCCUUUGGGCUGAGCCUGCAUCCAUUGCUCUACCUCCUCGUGAAGACGGGUUAUUGAGUGGUAACCCCAACACCCAGAUCCCAACCACUGCUGCAGACCCGGUCUAGAGAUUCAAUCAACUGGUGCCAACAGGCUCUGCAACCUUCAAGGAAGUAGCUGUGGAUUGCCCUGCCUGGCCACCAGCAUGCAAGGAAAUCUGCUGGGUAAGAGGCUCCGGGAUACUAGAAACUGGGGAUCCAGCCAUGCUGCAUGUGCUUCUGCUUAGGGUCCAUCUGGUUUCCCACCAGAAAAUCCACCGGGCGGAGAGACCUUUCAAACGCCUGGACGGUGGGGAGAGCUUCGGCCAGAGCGCCUGCCUCAACCAGCCCUGGAGAGCGCACAGGAGCAGCGCAUGGCUGGAGGCCUUAUGCCAGUUAAUGUCUGUCUUCAUCUCCCCCUAUUUCACCCUCUCCGCUCCUCUAGCAAUAAGAUAAACCUCUCCGCCAGCGGGGACGGCCCUCGGCACCUGCUUGUUUCUGGCUCUCCGAGGAUCACGCAGGUCGCUUGGCCCCGCUCCAGGUCUCAAACACGUUUUUUAGAAUGGGAACAGCCUCAUUUGAUGCAGCCUCAGAGACAGAAUUAGCUACUCAUUGUCCACCUAACACCAUUUUCGGCAGCUACAUCUCAAGAGAUGGUCUUCCAGCUGGUCAUUACAGGCUGCGUUUCAUGUUCUUACACAAGAUGACCUGAAACCUGUAUUCCUCAAAGGCCAUAUCCAUCUAGGAACGGUGCCAAACGGCCACGGCUCCUUCCUGCAUUACAAAACGUUGGUAUCAUAUUUCCAUGUGCUUUUAAGAACUGCAGAUCUUUAUCCUCUUCCAGUUUACCCUUUUUUCUCCUCUCAGGGCCAGCGUGUGGGUGAGAAUUAGCAC
RNAcentral lists this long non-coding RNA (1106 nucleotides) under Struthio camelus australis. Its description in RNAcentral is "lncRNA (ENSSCUG00000005745.1)". The record is from RNAcentral. Lineage: Eukaryota; Metazoa; Chordata; Aves; Struthioniformes; Struthionidae.